This 461-nucleotide ribosomal RNA is filed under the name uncultured bacterium. RNAcentral describes it as "partial 16S ribosomal RNA". It matches the Rfam family "Bacterial small subunit ribosomal RNA", at positions 338 to 795 of the family's 1533-position model. The record is from RNAcentral.
CCUACGGGAGGCAGCAGUGAGGAAUAUUGGUCAAUGGGCGGAAGCCUGAACCAGCCAAGUCGCGUGAGGGAGUAAGGCCCUACGGGUCGUAAACCUCUUUUGCCGGGGAGCAGUGCCCAGCUCGUGAGCUGGGAGGGAGCGUACCCGGAGAAAAAGCAUCGGCUAACUCCGUGCCAGCAGCCGCGGUAAUACGGAGGGUGCAAGCGUUACUCGGAAUCACUGGGCGUAAAGAGUGCGCAGGCGGGCUUGUAAGUCAGAUGUGAAAUCCUGUAGCUUAACUACAGAACUGCAUUUGAAACUAUGAGUCUAGAGUGUGGGAGAGGUAGGUGGAAUUCUUGGUGUAGGGGUAAAAUCCGUAGAUAUCAAGAGGAAUACUCAUUGCGAAGGCGACCUACUGGAACAUUACUGACGCUCAUGCACGAAAGCGUGGGUAGCAAACAGGAUUAGAUACCCCUGUAGUC